AACGGUCUAUACCUGCGGUACCUGCGGAGGGAUCAUUACAGGACUCGCAAGACUCCUACAACCCUGUGAACUUAACUAUAAGCACGUUGCUUCGGCGGGUGUCUCGGCGAGGGUUCUCCCUCCCCGGGGCGCUAAGCCCGCCGGCAGCCUACUAUACUCUGUCUCUUUGCGUUGGCAUCUCGAGUACAAACAAACAAGUUAAAACUUUCAACAACGGAUCUCUAGAUCGGAAGAGCACAC
Molecule: unclassified non-coding RNA, 240 nt
Filed under: soil metagenome
Description: partial contains 5.8S ribosomal RNA, internal transcribed spacer 2, and large subunit ribosomal RNA
Source: RNAcentral